Molecule: ribosomal RNA, 207 nt
Filed under: Aeromonas salmonicida subsp. salmonicida
Lineage: Bacteria; Pseudomonadati; Pseudomonadota; Gammaproteobacteria; Aeromonadales; Aeromonadaceae
Description: partial 16S ribosomal RNA
Rfam family: Bacterial small subunit ribosomal RNA
Source: RNAcentral
UUAAAUUGAAGAGUUUGAUCAUGGCUCAGAUUGAACGCUGGCGGCAGGCCUAACACAUGCAAGUCGAGCGGCAGCGGGAAAGUAGCUUGCUACUUUUGCCGGCGAGCGGCGGACGGGUGAGUAAUGCCUGGGGAUCUGCCCAGUCGAGGGGGAUAACAGUUGGAAACGACUGCUAAUACCGCAUACGCCUACGGGGGGAAAGGAGGG